Long non-coding RNA from Lolium rigidum, 478 nucleotides. RefSeq lists it as uncharacterized. Lineage: Eukaryota; Viridiplantae; Streptophyta; Magnoliopsida; Poales; Poaceae. The transcript is spliced from 5 exons. The record is from RefSeq and is a predicted model, not a curated record.
GCUGGUGAUGUCAUACUUGCAUGGGCUAACCAUUUGUUCGAUAACUUGAUUCCCAUUGUAAGGUGUUAAGUCGGAUCGUAUUUGUUCCGAUGAGGGUGUGGUGCGGUUUUCAGAGUUCCAAUCCUGAGGAUUUCGUACCAGUAAUAUUGCAGUGUGGUCCAGAGCAAAGGUUGAAUGGAGUACUGAGGACUUUUGGAGGGUGGCCAGUAGGAUGAGUUGGAUCUGUUCUUCAUAGCAAAGGUGAUGCCGUUGCAGAUAGGUACCUGAAGCAAAGCAUGCAAUAGCUCGUUUAUCCCUGUUUACCUUGGCACCGGAUUGAUGGACCUCUAUAUACGCAUGGAAAUAAAUAAGUUGAACUCUCUCAUUAUCUACCACGCCUUUCUAAACUUGUUUUGCUGCUAGCUUGAGAGUAUAACAGUGGAUAAUCACCAUUAGCACAAUGGGACAAGAACUCAUGAUGAAUCUGACAUAAUUCGCU